AUGCACUCGAAAACCAAUACCAAGAUUCUACAUGGCGAUGUUAAACCAGCUAAUAUACUUUUGGAUGAUAAGUAUGUGCCAAAGAUCUCAGACUUCGGCAUAUCAAGGUUGAUUGCAAGAGACAAACAACACACGGGAUCUAUCAUUGGUGACAUGAGUUAUAUGGAUCCGGUAUAUCUACAAACAGGGCUACUAACAGAAAAAAGUGAUGUCUACAGUUUUGGAGUUGUCAUCUUGGAGCUUAUUAGUAGGAAGAAAGCUACACAUUCCGACGGUGGUAGUUUAGUAAACAAUUUCCUUGAAGCUUACAAGAAAGAGAAGAAAGCAACUCCAUUAUUUGAGGAGGAAAUUGCGGUAACAGAAGAUUUGGACAUUCUUGAUAGUUUGGCAUGUAUUGCUGUGGAAUGCCUUAACCUUGAUGUGGAUCAAAGACCAUGGAUGACAAACGUAGCAGAGCGUCUCCUCAUAAUGGAUCCAUCCCGCAAGUCGUAA
This 492-nucleotide ribosomal RNA is filed under the name Triticum aestivum (bread wheat). Its description in RNAcentral is "partial small subunit ribosomal RNA". Lineage: Eukaryota; Viridiplantae; Streptophyta; Magnoliopsida; Poales; Poaceae. The record is from RNAcentral.